RNAcentral lists this ribosomal RNA (551 nucleotides) under Hanseniaspora uvarum. Its description in RNAcentral is "eukaryotic LSU rRNA". It matches the Rfam family "Eukaryotic large subunit ribosomal RNA", at positions 48 to 602 of the family's 3401-position model. The record is from RNAcentral. Lineage: Eukaryota; Fungi; Ascomycota; Saccharomycetes; Saccharomycodales; Saccharomycodaceae.
UAGCGGAGGAAAAGAAACCAACUGGGAUUACCUUAGUAACGGCGAGUGAAGCGGUAAAAGCUCAAAUUUGAAAUCUGGUACUUUCAGUGCCCGAGUUGUAAUUUGUAGAAUUUGUCUUUGAUUAGGUCCUUGUCUAUGUUCCUUGGAACAGGACGUCAUAGAGGGUGAGAAUCCCGUUUGGCGAGGAUACCUUUUCUUUGUAAGACUUUUUCGAAGAGUCGAGUUGUUUGGGAAUGCAGCUCAAAGUGGGUGGUAAAUUCCAUCUAAAGCUAAAUAUUGGCGAGAGACCGAUAGCGAACAAGUACAGUGAUGGAAAGAUGAAAAGAACUUGAAAAGAGAGUGAAAAAGUACGUGAAAUUGUUGAAAGGGAAGGGCAUUUGAUCAGACAUGGUGUUUUUUGCAUGCACUCGCCUCUCGUGGGCUUGGGCCUCUCAAAAAUUUCACUGGGCCAACAUCAAUUCUGGCAGCAGGAUAAAUCAUUAAGAAUGUAGCUACUUCGGUAGUGUUAUAGCUUUUUGGAAUACUGUUAGCCGGGAUUGAGGACUGCGCUU